RNAcentral lists this long non-coding RNA (1070 nucleotides) under Homo sapiens (human). RNAcentral describes it as "HSALNT0211168". The record is from RNAcentral. Lineage: Eukaryota; Metazoa; Chordata; Mammalia; Primates; Hominidae.
CUGACUUCUUAAGGCUCAGCUUAAGCAUUGUGGUCCCAGUACUAAACAGAAUGCUCCUUUGUGUGAUUUAAGUAUUCUGAAAAGUGGGUUACCUGACAUCCCAGGCUCAGACAUUUUUGUUGACUGAGCACAUUGGAAGACUUGCAUCCACACGAUUUGAUCAACUUGGGAAUAUAUUCCUUCCCUGGAGAAAGUCAGUUGCAACCUGGGGAAGGAAGGACAUGCUUAAAAGGUCUCUGUCUCAUGCACUCAGAAGCCACUGAGUUGAGCAAUUUCCUAUUUGACUCAAUGUGCGUCUCUCAUUUUCAUGCUUUGAUUUUUUGCACUGGUUUUCUUGGUAAUGAAGGGUAGUGGGAAAGGGAGGCAGAAUUAUCUAAAUACAGUAAUUACCAAAUUGAAACCUAUUCAAACAGCUAGGUUACUAGGUUCAGACUGACCUUGACACUUUCAACCUUCAGAUUCCAGUUGGUUGGGGUCAGCCACAAAUGUCGAGUUGCUGAGUGAUUUCCACAUGCUUCUUUUGUGUACCUUAACAAGGGCAGACAAAAGAUGUUUUUCCAGUGGGACUCACUCUUUAUGAGGCCUGACCCUCGAAGGAGCAAAUUAAUCUCAGGCGAUUUUGAGGUUUUAGGGCACUAAGAGAAUUUUUAGAGCAUGGAGAAGUAAUUUGUUCAAUGGUGCCUUAGAAGAGUUAAUUUACCUCCAAAAGGUAUUAUCUCAAUGAUCAAAAGCCUACAAACUUACCCCAAGAAAUAGAUUUCUGUUGUUUGCUGCGCUACACCUGAGGACUCAAGAGUGUGCUCCUGGGUCCAGGGCCUGCAAAGGCAGCAUUUUCCCCUUGAGGAUGCAUAUAUGAUGCCAUUCGAUUGAUGGCUUCAGUCCAGAGCUGGCUACUAUGUGAGUGGGCAUUUGCCAGAGAGAGGCAGUGUCAUAACGGCAUUUAGGAAUGAACACUCUAGAGCCAGAUAACUUGGAUUUGAAUCCCUGUUGUACCAUGUUUCAGCUGUGGAACCUUGGAGCAUGCCUUCGUUGAGCUGAGACCCAGGCUUCUCUGACAAACUCUGUUGAGG